AGAACCCGAAAUACGACCACCUAAACGUCGAACAGCUUAUGGCUCAGAUUUCUUGUUUUUCUUUUAAUUAAUCAAAGAUUUCCGCUACUACUUCUUUUCAUUAUCCAAGGUAUAAAAGUCUCGUGAGCUGCUACGCUGACAGGUCAAAGGAUCCUGACGAGAGGCCAAGGAAGCUUUGAUCACAGGGAAAAGAAUUGAAAUUGAAUUGGUUGAUUUAAAAAAAAAGGAGAAUGCCUCCAAAAAGAACUUGAAAGAUGUGGAGAAUGAAUACGGAUAAGGGCAAGAAAUGCCUACCCCUGGACCCAGGGGUGAACCAGGUCAAAUGAACGAUAUCUAAACCUUGAUGAGAAUGAUGAUGGAACAUGUGGAAAGACAGGACAUAAUGACGGAAGAACUCAUACAAAAACUGGAUGGUCGUCCGGUGGGCCGUCUCCCUUGGGUCCUCUGCUGUGGUCAGUAUGAGGGAGCGUGAUCGACUUGAAUUACCUUCCAAGAUAGGGGAGAUACAAUAUAUAUUGGAGAGUGAUGUGCUGCAGCAGUCUGAUAAGCAAUAUUCUGCAAAUGACCUAUCGGCAACAUUCAACCAAAAAAGCAUCAAUGGAGAGUCAGUCCUUUUAGCAAAGGCAUCAAAUACAGUGAGGGCA
This 644-nucleotide small RNA is filed under the name Histoplasma capsulatum var. duboisii H88. RNAcentral's name for it is "Histoplasma capsulatum H88 hypothetical RNA". The record is from RNAcentral. Lineage: Eukaryota; Fungi; Ascomycota; Eurotiomycetes; Onygenales; Ajellomycetaceae.